UUCACGGUGUUCAUCGAACAGAGCUUAUAUUGCAGUCUACGACCUCUCCGUUCAGCACAUAAUCAUUUUGCCAUCGCAGUCGAUGAAGCUCUGCCCGCUGUUCCGCGCAUGUAGACAUUCUUUUGGUCAGGAAUAUAAUUAUAGUAUUGGUCGUUUUAUUAUUCUGCCCAUAUCGUGUACGAGAAGGCAUUCCAAAUCCGGGAGAACUGAAGAGCACGUUGGUGGACGCCAGUAACAAGCGCGACCACUUAAACUAUGGGCACCAACGCAAGAGACGGCCUACAGUGGCUUCGAGACAUUCGUUCAGAGACUUCAGAGUUUGCUCGACCCAUCCUACCACGGUACCCACUCAGCCAACUCAUCCCCGCAGGAAUUGGUCCAGAAAGAGAGGAGGAAUUCCGAAGAGUAGUGCGGGAGAUGCUGUUCGAUUUCAUCGAUGCUCAUCCUGAGCUCACCAUCGAGUUUUGCUAUCAGCUUAUACUAGGCACCUACAGGUAAUGGUUGAUCCAGUGCAAUCUACAGAAUGAGCGACGUGGAAGCAAGAGUGCCACCAGUGCUAUGAAACGUGUGAACACUGAACGUUGAAAUAGCAACAUAAUUCCAAACCACGCAAGUUCAUAAUGCAUUGAUUGAAAAAAUCCGCCCUGAAAAAGUGCUAGAAAAAGAAUGUAUUCUCGAUCUUGGAAUUGUACAUAAUUAUGGUCAGCAGGAUGUGACGUCGUUUUUUUGUUGUUUUUUGUUUUUGUUUUUUCUCUUUUUUUGCGUUUUUCACACAUACAAUUGUUCUGAUAUUUUGGGGUUGUGUUCUAAUCAUUCACCAUGCCACUGUCAAUUGUAUUCUGUUUGCCCGUAAAAGAGGCCUGUACUAUGUGACGUCAUUGAAUUUCACAGCACAUGUAAUGAGUUCGUUUUGUUUUGUAGCUACUUGUCACACGUUCUUACUUAAAAUCUACCUGGUUAUACUUCUGGGGAGAUCCUCUUAAUUCUUAUCCAUGUGUUGAUUCAUUUUAUUAUUUUAUUACACUUCAAUUCAAUAACUUUUCUUUCUCUCUGUGAUGUGCUUACUGAUGGUGGUCUCUAAAAAGCGGCAUAGAAUAUGCAUGAACAUGUGUAGCCUUGCUUUGUGUGCAUAAUCGGCUCUUGUGCACAUGUAUUGUUUUGCUACGCAUUUUCAUCACAUGCCAUGCCAUGCACAUCACUUCAUUUUGUCACUUGUUAUUGUAUUGAUAACUGAUUUUGCUUCGUUG
Sycon ciliatum is the source of this 1247-nucleotide long non-coding RNA. RefSeq lists it as uncharacterized. The record is from RefSeq and is a predicted model, not a curated record. The transcript has 2 exons. Lineage: Eukaryota; Metazoa; Porifera; Calcarea; Leucosolenida; Sycettidae.